RNAcentral lists this ribosomal RNA (253 nucleotides) under uncultured bacterium. RNAcentral's name for it is "partial 16S ribosomal RNA". It matches the Rfam family "Bacterial small subunit ribosomal RNA", at positions 524 to 776 of the family's 1533-position model. The record is from RNAcentral.
UACGUAGGCAGCAAGCGUUGUUCGGAGUUACUGGGCGUAAAGGGUGUGUAGGCGGUUCUUUAAGUUUGGUGUGAAAUCUCCCGGCUCAACUGGGAGGGUGCGCCGAAUACUGAGGGACUAGAGUACGGGAGAGGAAAGUGGAAUUCCUGGUGUAGCGGUGAAAUGCGUAGAUAUCAGGAGGAACACCGGUGGUGUAGACGGCUUUCUGGACCGACACUGACGCUGAAACACGAAAGCGUGGGUAGCAAACAGG